AAUGAACGCUGGCGGCGUGGAUUAGGCAUGCAAGUCGAGCGGUAAGGCCCCUUCGGGGGUACACGAGCGGCGGAAGGGUCAGUAAUGCGUGGAUUAUCUACCUCCGGGUUCGGGACAACUGUGCUAACGCGCAGCUAAUACCGAAUAACGUCUCCGGUCCAAAGGUGCGAUUCCGCCUGGAGAUGAGUCCGCGUCCUAUUAGCUAGUUGGUGGGGUAAUGGCCCACCAAGGCCGAGAUGGGUAGCAGGUGUGAGAGCACGACCUGCGACACUGGGACUGAGAUACUGCCCAGACUCCUACGGGAGGCAG
This 309-nucleotide ribosomal RNA is filed under the name uncultured Planctomycetota bacterium. Its description in RNAcentral is "bacterial SSU rRNA". It matches the Rfam family "Bacterial small subunit ribosomal RNA", at positions 29 to 351 of the family's 1533-position model. The record is from RNAcentral. Lineage: Bacteria; Pseudomonadati; Planctomycetota.